Molecule: long non-coding RNA, 598 nt
Organism: Magnolia sinica
Lineage: Eukaryota; Viridiplantae; Streptophyta; Magnoliopsida; Magnoliales; Magnoliaceae
Exons: 3
Source: RefSeq, a predicted model, not a curated record
GCUACCACUAGUUGCUAGACUAAUUGGAGAAUUCAUGAUAGACGACAUUGGGAAGAUCUGUUCUAUUUUCCAUCUAGAGAAAAAUAUCUACAAUUCAAAUAGUUUCUAUACAUAGUAGCAUCCACAAGUUUACCUUUUCUUCCCAUUUUCAAAGUGAUAUUGUUAUCUUUUUUGGUUCAAGCUGGUUUCAAUUGUUUUGACAGAACCAGCAAGUUCUCCAUAAUCAACCCUGCUAUUAUUGAGGAAAAUGGAUAAAAAAACAAACAAUGAAAUGGAGACAAUCUUUGAAAUGUGUAUUUCCUCAAAUCUUUGUGGCUUACUGAGGGUUUCGCGAGAUGGGUAUUGCUCAUGGGUUCCUUCAUCUCUGACAUUAGUGCUGGGUUGACAUAGCAUAAUCUUGCGAAUGAUCAAGUGAACUGCUGUGUUUCAGAGCUUGUUGAGGCUGAAGUGGUUGUGUGCUUGUGUCAUCAAACCAUCUGAACUUCAGUGGAUUCAUGGCCUUGAUGGAGACUAGGGGCAGGUCAGUGGCAGCUUGAUUUUUCUCCAAUUUUAUGUGCAUUCAUGGCCUUUUGAUGUUGAUAUGGUGAUGUCUUAGAUA